UGAAAUGCAUUCAACUCUUCUUCAGAGUCAAACUUGAAGUUAGGAUCAUCAAUACCGCGUCAUCUUGAUAAUAUCAUUCAUAGUGUAAGUAUGCCUGAUUUCACCUUCCUCAACUUCAGGCUCUUGACGACGAGCUCUAACUUCUUCAAUCUUAAUUUCUUCAAACUUCUGUUCAACUGACUUUCCAAGCAAAUUCUCUAACACUUUGUUCAUCAUAUAUAUCUCAUGCUCUUUCAUUGCUUUGGCAGCCUCUAACUCUUUAUUCUUCAGUUCAAAAUACUUGUUUUGCUCGUCUUUGCGUGCUUUCUCUUCCUCUAACUUAGCAACUUUCACUUUAAGAAUAUCAAUUUCAGCCUGAUUAGCUUCAAUUUUCUUUAACAAUGAAGAAUUUUCAGCUUCCACAGACUUAACACGCUUUUCCAAUUUCUUCUCACGGUCUACCAACCUUUUGUUAUCAACCAAUACUUCUUCCAUUUCCAACCUCUUUACUUGCUCAUCAUUCGCAAUACCAAAAUCUCCAGUCUCUUCAAGAGUAAUACCCUCCGGAACUUGUGGAAAAGUUUUGUAUCCAGAAGAUCCAGGUGUAGUUUGGACAGGUGGUUGAAAGAUUUGUUGUGAAGUAACAACAGGUUGUUCUUGGAUAGGUGUUUGAUGUGGUUGUCUUGAAGGUGAUUGGUGAAGUGGUGAUUGGAUUGGUGAUGGUUGUUGUUGUGGUUCAGGUGGUGGUGAUGGUGAUGGUGGUGGUGUGGGCUGUUUUGGUGGUGUAGGUGGUUUUGAUUUUGGUGUACGUUUAGGCAACUUCACAAUCAACUUUCUUCUAGCUGCACUAGGAGUAACGACUCGAUUUCUUGCACUUGCUUUCUUCCUGCCACCAGAUGAUGGAGGUGUUUGAGAUUCAAUAACAUGCUCAGGAGAUGGAAUAUAUGGAUCAUCCUCUUUCUCCUCUCUUCUCUUUAGUUGUUUCUCUUUUUCAAUCUCAGCUCUAAUUCUCUUCGCACGUUCAGUUUCAUCAAUAUCUUCAUCAGACGAGCUUGAUGAGCUUUUAUCUACAUCAUCACCUUCUUCAUCACCAGCUGCCUUUUCUUUUUCAGCAUUAGAUUUAUUAAGAGAUUCCAAAAACUUUGCAGAUUCAGGAGACAAACGAACAUCUCCUUCAACAUUAGCUUCAGCUUCAUCUUCUUUAUCUGAUUCAUCAACAAGCAUAGUCUCAACAACUCUUCUUUGACGCUUUUUCUUUGGCUGAGAAGAUGAACCCUGCUCUACUUGAACUUUUGGAGUUGCUUUCCUUCUUCUUUUCUUUUUCUCUUCCUUCAGAAACCAUUCAUUUCUUGAUUCUUUGAAAUCUGCAAGUAUUUUCAACUCAUUAGCAUAACUUGCUUCUUUCAUUUCUUUUUCAUUUCUCCAUUUCUGAU
Molecule: long non-coding RNA, 1412 nt
Filed under: Helianthus annuus (common sunflower)
Lineage: Eukaryota; Viridiplantae; Streptophyta; Magnoliopsida; Asterales; Asteraceae
Description: sRNA HanXRQr2_Chr12g0532741
Source: RNAcentral